UACGAGCGGCGGACGGGUGGAGGUAACACGUGGACAAUCUGCCCCCCGGCCCCGGGACUAGCCCAGGGAAACCUGGAUUAAUACCGGAUGAGACGGGACCCGCGAAGGCGGGACCCGGGAAGGCGCUGCGGCGCCGCCGGGGGAUGAGUCUGCGUCCCAUUAGCUAGACGGCGGGGUAACGGCCCACCGUGGCGACGAUGGGUAGCCGGCCUGAGAGGGUGGACGGCCACAUUGGAACUGAGACACGGUCCAGACUCCUACGGGAGGCAGCAGCUAAGAAUCUUCCGCAAUGGGCGAAAGCCUGACGGAGCGACGCCCGCGUGAACGAAGAAGGCCGUGAGGUUGUAAAGUUCUUUUCGGGAGGGGGAACAACCGUGGCAGGGAAUGGCCGCGGGAUGACGUGAAUCCCGGAAUAAGCCCCGGCUAACUACGUGCCAGCCGCAGC
Molecule: ribosomal RNA, 445 nt
Filed under: uncultured bacterium
Lineage: Bacteria
Description: bacterial SSU rRNA
Rfam family: Bacterial small subunit ribosomal RNA
Source: RNAcentral